Molecule: ribosomal RNA, 241 nt
Filed under: uncultured bacterium
Lineage: Bacteria
Description: partial 16S ribosomal RNA
Rfam family: Bacterial small subunit ribosomal RNA
Source: RNAcentral
CGAAGCGAAGCAGUGAUGUGAAGCAAAUCGCACCAAAGCCAGUCCCAGUUCGGAUAAGAGGCUGAAACUCGCCUCUUUGAAGUCGGAAUCGCUAGUAAUCGCAGAUCAGCAUGUUGCGGUGAAUACGUUCCCGGGUCUUGUACACACCGCCCGUCAAACCAUGAGAGUCACCAACACCCGAAGUCCGCCUUGGCGGCCUAAGGUGGGGGAGAUGAUUGGGGUUAAGUCGUAACAAGGUAUC